Prunus avium (sweet cherry) is the source of this 439-nucleotide non-coding RNA. The record is from RefSeq and is a predicted model, not a curated record. NCBI's taxonomy places the organism in Eukaryota, Viridiplantae, Streptophyta, Magnoliopsida, Rosales, Rosaceae.
GGCGCUAGGGGGGUCUAGGCGGCGCUAGGCGGGUCUAGGCGGGUCUAGGCGGCGCUAGGCGGGUCUGGGCGCCAGGGUGGGUCUGUCGCAUUUUUUCCAGCUCAUGUUUAGCAAGUUUAAACUUCCUUGGAAAUGGGGUCUGCAGAUUUUUGUUCCUUCUCUUCUUCCCUCUAUAAAUUAAAUUGGCUUUGCUUCUGCUGAGCCACAGGCUGUUUCUGGGUUCUGCAGAUUGUCCUUCUUUGACUGAUUCGAAGAAUUAAUGGGCGACGUCUAUAUUGAAAAUGAAAUAUCUGAAAUGCCUCUCGCAGCCUAUAAUGAUACGGUGUGGAACACAAGUCUUCUUUUUGAUAGUCUGGGAUUCUACUCAUCAAUGGAUGACAUUUUCACCCGUCUAUUGACACUGGCUAGUUAUAUAAGUCGUCGAUUAAUUCAAUUUAUU